CUCUCUGUAUAGCUCAGUUGGUUAGAGCACUGCACCGGAAUCGCAGGGCCGCAGGUUCGAUUCCUGUCAGAGGGC
Molecule: transfer RNA, 75 nt
Filed under: Paramuricea clavata
Lineage: Eukaryota; Metazoa; Cnidaria; Anthozoa; Malacalcyonacea; Plexauridae
Description: tRNA-Ser
Rfam family: tRNA
About the family: Transfer RNA (tRNA) molecules are approximately 80 nucleotides in length. Their secondary structure includes four short double-helical elements and three loops (D, anti-codon, and T loops).
Source: RNAcentral